RNAcentral lists this ribosomal RNA (253 nucleotides) under uncultured bacterium. RNAcentral's name for it is "partial 16S ribosomal RNA". It matches the Rfam family "Bacterial small subunit ribosomal RNA", at positions 524 to 776 of the family's 1533-position model. The record is from RNAcentral.
UACGAAGGGGACAAGCGUUGUUCGGAAUUAUUGGGCGUAAAGGGCGCGUAGGCGGACUCAUAAGUCGAUUGUGAAAUCCCUGGGCUUAACCCGGGAACUGCAGUCGAAACUGUAAGUCUUGAAUGCUCGAGAGGAUGGUAGAAUUCCUGGUGUAGAGGUGAAAUGCGUAGAUAUCGUAAGGAAGACCAGUGGCGAAGGCGGGUCUCUGGACAGUUCCUGACGCUGAGGCACGAAGGCCAGGGGAGCAAACGGG